Molecule: transfer RNA, 76 nt
Filed under: Corynebacterium matruchotii
Lineage: Bacteria; Bacillati; Actinomycetota; Actinomycetes; Mycobacteriales; Corynebacteriaceae
Also listed under: 6 other names
Description: tRNA-Lys
Rfam family: tRNA
About the family: Transfer RNA (tRNA) molecules are approximately 80 nucleotides in length. Their secondary structure includes four short double-helical elements and three loops (D, anti-codon, and T loops).
Source: RNAcentral
GACUCACUAGCUCAAUUGGUAGAGCAUCUGACUCUUAAUCAGCAGGUUCGGGGUUCGAUUCCCCGGUGGGUCACCA